GGAGAGGGCUGUGGCUCGUGGUAGAGCAUCACACAGAAGGUCCCAGGUUCAAUCCCUGGUAUCUCCA
This 67-nucleotide transfer RNA is filed under the name Sphaerodactylus townsendi. RNAcentral's name for it is "tRNA-Val". Lineage: Eukaryota; Metazoa; Chordata; Lepidosauria; Squamata; Sphaerodactylidae. The record is from RNAcentral.